CAGCAGUAGGGAUCUUCCGCAAUGGACGAAAGUCUGACGGAGCAACGCCGCGUGAGUGAUGAAGGUUUUCGGAUCGUAAAACUCUGUUAUUAGGGAAGAACAAAUGUGUAAGUAACUGUGCACAUCUUGACGGUACCUAAUCAGAAAGCCACGGCUAACUACGUGCCAGCAGCCGCGGUAAUACGUAGGUGGCAAGCGUUAUCCGGAAUUAUUGGGCGUAAAGCGCGCGUAGGCGGUUUCUUAAGUCUGAUGUGAAAGCCCACGGCUCAACCGUGGAGGGUCAUUGGAAACUGGGAAACUUGAGUACAGAAGAGGAAAGUGGAAUUCCAUGUGUAGCGGUGAAAUGCGCAGAGAUAUGGAGGAACACCAGUGGCGAAGGCGACUUUCUGGUCUGUAACUGACGCUGAUGUGCGAAAGCGUGGGGAUCAAACAGGAUUAGAUACCCUGGUAGUCCACGCCGUAAACGAUGAGUGCUAAGUGUUAGGGGGUUUCCGCCCCUUAGUGCUGCAGCUAACGCAUUAAGCACUCCGCCUGGGGAGUACGACCGCAAGGUUGAAACUCAAAGGAAUUGACGGGGCCC
Molecule: ribosomal RNA, 580 nt
Filed under: Staphylococcus sp.
Lineage: Bacteria; Bacillati; Bacillota; Bacilli; Caryophanales; Staphylococcaceae
Description: bacterial SSU rRNA
Rfam family: Bacterial small subunit ribosomal RNA
Source: RNAcentral